This 347-nucleotide unclassified non-coding RNA is filed under the name soil metagenome. RNAcentral describes it as "partial contains 5.8S ribosomal RNA, internal transcribed spacer 2, and large subunit ribosomal RNA". The stretch from base 1 to 121 matches the Rfam family "5.8S ribosomal RNA", at positions 35 to 154 of the family's 154-position model. The record is from RNAcentral.
GAUGAAGAACGUAGCGAAAUGCGAUAAGUAAUGCGAAUUGCAGAAUUUCCGUGAGCCAUCGAAUCUUUGAACGCACAUUGCGCCCUUUGGUAUUCCGAAUGGCAUGCCUGUUCGAGCGUCAUUAUCACAGCUCAAACCCCGGGUUUGGUGUUGGACCAACGUUGGGUCAACCAGCUGGUCUCAAAGACAAUGACGGCGUCCGUGGGACCCUCAGUGCAUCGAGCUUUCAUAAGCACGCAUUGAGUUGCAAGGACCUUCCGGGCCGGUCUACUUUUACAUCUUCUGAAAGUUGACCUCGGAUCAGGUAGGAAUACCCGCUGAACUUAAGCAUAUCAAUAAGCGGAGGA